GAGAGGAUGGGCCCCACGGCGAGAGGCUGUGGGUCUCUGCUAAAGCUUCGAGCACACAUGGUGUGUGUGCGGCUCUCAGCAGCGCUAAGCCCAGCAGCGAUGCGGUGCUGUUUGUCAGUUUGAGGUCACAAAUUUCUCCCCAUCAUCUGGUGGCAGUUAGAGGCCGUGAGCCAAAGCCUCUGCCCGGCUGGGCUUGCCCUCUGUGCGACUCUGCAUCUGUGAGAUGGGCACGGCCUGCAAGCUCGCUGGGAAGAGUAACCACGCAGUGCCUGUGCCUACCUGGAAAACUGUUAGCACUAUCUAAAAAUGAUCAUUGUUCUUGGUAAAGGAGUUACGACAGCAGCUGCCUAAUGGGAAGCGUAGUUGGCUCCCUGCCCCUCCAAUUAGCUGACUUAGGCGCCAUUAGUUUGCAAGGCGCCCUCAAAUUUGUACCCGGCUGCAAGUUUUCUGAAUGUGCAGAACAGUGUGGAAAGAUGAAGCCAGGUUGAUUCCUUAAAGUCCGUCCCAAAUACUCGAUAAUGCCCAGCCUGAGGGCAAGUUAGCUUCCUUCCCUUUAUUUACACGGAGUGUGUUUACAGUGCUAUUUUAGUUAUUUGGCAGUUUCAGGUGCAUCUUACCAUUGGGAAACUUACGAACUCCAGGGGCUGUGAGCCAGGGGCACGGCCAAGAAAGGACUGGGGUCCUGUCUGCUCCAUGAAAGGGAGAUUAUUUGUCAGUCAUUAUUUCAAUUGUACAUAUUUAUCAGGUACAGUUUAAUAAUUUGGCGUGUUACACGAAGCAUGCAGCAUUCAUGUUGUGUGAGUAUGUAACGAGUGUGUCAUGAUAGCAUCAGGGUAGUUCACAGUCCCAUUUCCUUACACAUUCCUAAAAGUUUUGAUGAACAGAUAAUGAUUUUGCAUAUUUAUGAGAUACGGUGUGAUAUUUCAACACAUGUGUACAACAGGUACUGACCAAAUCAGGUAACGAAUACUUCCUUGUCCUUAUCUUUAUGUUGCAUGUGGAGGUUUCAAGCUCCUCUCUUGUAGUUCUUCAUAAAAUACAUAAUAGGUUAUUAUGAGGUAUGGUUCACUGUACACUGUGCUGUAGAGCCCUGGAGCAUGUUGUUUCUGUCUGUCAGUGGUUGGUACCGGUACUGGCUAUCCACCUCUCUGAGUCCCCUUUUAUCUUUUCCCUCAAGCCUUUCCAGACUCUAGUAUUCGCUAUUCUACAUUUAGAUUGACUUGGAAAAAAGCAUCUGCAGAUAUGAGUGAACAUGUAAUAUUUAUCCUUCUGUGUCUGACUUAGUUCACCUAGCUGCACAUGACAGGGUAUUCACUUUACUGCUGGAUGAUUUUCCACUGCAUGUAAAUACACUGUGUUUUCUUUGUCCCAUCACCCAUUCCCAGGCUUCUCAGUGGCUUCUGUAUUUUAGCUAUUGUGAAUAGUGGGGCAAGUGAAUGUGGGUGUGCAGGGAAGUCUUCAGUAUGCUGAUAUGAUGCUGAAGGAUGGAUCAACCAGGAGGCAGGGGAGGUAUCUCAGCAUGCAUGGAUGUGAAAUGACCAAAGACACCCACCCCGAGGAAGCGCGUGUUGAGGACGAGGAUGCAGAGGCAGUGCUCUGCCUGUCAAUGGCUCAGUGACGGCCGACUGUUCCACUGUGAAUGCUGCUUGGCACUUUUGUUUACCUUGCAAGUGAGACGAAAGUGGAAAAAUGAAGACAGGACGUGAGCAACUCCUCUGCUGAAUCAAACAGUCUUUUUCAAAUUCCAGAAAAGUAUUUCCUCAAUUAUUUUGUGUUUUUCACAAUGUCAUGUCUACAGAUAAGACACAUUUUAAAGCUUAAUCUGCCAAUUUGUUAAUAGUUUAACAGUCUAACCCAUUAACUUUUUAGUGUUUCCGCAGUGUAGACAGUUGUCAAAUAAUACAUCAAACCAUGGUUUAUAGCAUAUGCCAAUUUCUGUGAGGUAAAUAUUUCUACACAGAGUUGUUUCACAACUAGUUUGCAGAUUCUUUAAAGUCACAGUAACAACGGACUCUGGUGAGCACCUCUUGUGCUGACUGAACUCAAAACCUUGUGGGAGCGAGGAACAUACAGUGUCCUAGCUUCCACGGUGGGAAGGAAAUAUGGAAAUUCAUAACAGAAGAGUUCUGGAGGGCAGAAGGGAAGGAAAUAACUGCACACACAAGGGUACCGAGAAGGAAAACCAUUCUUUUCUGUCAGGGAGAAUCAAGCUAGCAAAGAGAGGAAAGAAAAAAAUCCAGAAAGUGGACCUCAGGAAUAGUAAGAUAUGGAGAGGCCCCGUUUUUUGUGUUUGGAUGAAACACCAGGGCUGUGCGGUCCACGUGUUGGGCAGGUCUGACAGAUGCUAACUUUUCCACCACCCUGGGAGGCCCAGGAUCUUCUGUAUCCUGAAGCUGAGGGCACUGAGGAGUGUAGUUUUGUAUCUGAACUAAAUUUACGGAGCCAGGCCAAGUGAGGUGAGAAAUUACUGUACUUGAGCCUAUUUUAGGCACUCUUUGUUAGGAGGAACAAAACAAAACCCCACCCCGUAAUCACCGCACUACAGAAGGGUUAGUGAGGGUGGAAAACAUUUAAUUUGUGGGUACCCUGUGAGCCAUGCUGGGAGCUGGGAGGACUGUGUUCCCCCUGGCGGUGUUGCUGCUGUCCGGGGGUCACCUAAAGAGGGUCUGAAUGGGCGAGGGGCUCCAGCUCCUCAGUGUGGCCAACAGAACCCCUCUUGAGGCUCCCUGCUUCUGUACACUUCAUAUUUGAGUUAAUUUCUGGUUUUCCAGCAUUCUGCAAUCAGGCCGACCAUACUUCUCAAUGUUGCUCAAGGAAGCUCUCCAUCCCUGUCCUAUGCACAGGCUGGGCUGGUCUCCACGUGGUGUGCGCCAUGGCUAAUCUGGAAGACAGAGAAGUCAGAGGCAGAGAGCAUCAGAGGAACUUACCAAAGCUCAUGCAGUCAUGACAGAGCUGCAGCAGGUGUUCCACAGCAAGACCGAAAGCUCAGAGUUGAGGCUCACAACUCGCCAUGGAUUGGAUAUGGAGGAGUCCCUGAAAGUUCGUGCUCUGGAAAAUUGGUCUCCAGGCUGCUGGUGUGGAGGCUAUGAGGAAGAAGAGAUGUGGAGAAAGCUGCCAGAACCCUGGGGUAUCGAGGGCACCCCGUCUUGUUUCUGCACAGUUGCAGGAAGUAGUCUAUUCUAGGAGGGCGUCACCGAGUCUGCACUGGGCCCUGCCAGGUCCGUGCCCCACAUCAGAGCCACUGGAGGGUCCUUCCUUGCUCGUGUGCUCUUUUGGGUAAUAAUAACAGGCUGGCAGAAGACUUGGAUUGACAGUAAGAAGCCUUACAUGAGCCAUCUUUGCAUUAAUGUAUCUCUUUUCCUCAAGACAGAUGUGCAAAAGUGAACUAUGCCCAACCAAUGUGACAUCAACUUACACUUAACCUUUUCUCUCGGAUUCACGAGUGAAGAUGGACAGGACAGGAAGCAUACACAAGGUUAAUAUCAGGUGCUGGCUGGAGGAUUGAAGUGUCAAUCCUGGACUUGGGGGGACAGUGCCGUGUCAUAGGUGGCAGUAGUGUCCAUCCAGGCUGCAGGGGUGGGGGGGUGCUGAUGUCUUGUGCUUACCAAUGCUGAACAGAACAGCUGCGAGAGAAGGUGCAUGUGUGUGAUGUAUGUGUGCUUAUGUGUAAGUGUGAGUGCAUGUGUGAAAGUAGGUAUUCACAGGUGUGAGAAUCUAUGCAUGUACUUUAGUAUACCAUUAAGUGUAUGAACAUGUGAGAGUGGAUGUGCAUGUGAGUGUUACAUGUGAGUCCGUGUGAAUGCAUGUGUGUGAGUGUGUGUAAAGGUGCUUUUCUUGGAACUGCCAGUGGAAUUUCACCUAGUGAGAUUCACUUCUCUCCACCUUACAUUCGGAUGUUAUGCUCAGUAAAACCAUAAUAUUUUGAAAUAUUGUAAUUGUAAAAUGCAUUCACUAUACCUAGCUCACUAAACUUCCUAGUUUAACCCAUCCUCCCUUUACUAUUCUUGGAACACUUACCUUCACUACAGUUGGGCAAAAUCACCUAACCCAACGUCAGCUUUGUAAUAAAAUGUUGACUAUAUCAUGUAAUUUACUGAAUACUGUACUAAAACUGAAAAACAGUGGCUGUACGGAUAUUCUUUCACACCAUCAUAAAUAAAAAAGAUCCUAAGUGGA
Long non-coding RNA from Chinchilla lanigera (long-tailed chinchilla), 4176 nucleotides. RefSeq lists it as uncharacterized. The transcript is spliced from 3 exons. Lineage: Eukaryota; Metazoa; Chordata; Mammalia; Rodentia; Chinchillidae. The record is from RefSeq and is a predicted model, not a curated record.